RNAcentral lists this ribosomal RNA (809 nucleotides) under uncultured bacterium. RNAcentral's name for it is "bacterial SSU rRNA". It matches the Rfam family "Bacterial small subunit ribosomal RNA", at positions 95 to 941 of the family's 1533-position model. The record is from RNAcentral.
GUGGCAGACGGGUGAGUAACAUGUGGGUAUCUACCCUUUGGCCUGGAAUAACACGAGGAAACUUGUGCUAAUACCGGAUAAGUCUUUACGGAGAAAGCUUUAUGCACCAUUGGAUGAGCCCGCACUUGAUUAGUUUGUUGGUAGGGUAAUGGCCUACCAAGACUAUGAUCAAUAGCUGAUUUGAGAGGAUGAUCAGCCACAUUGGGACUGAGACACGGCCCAAACUCCUACGGGAGGCAGCAGUGGGGAAUCUUGCACAAUGGAGGAAACUCUGAUGCAGCGAUGCCGCGUGAGUGAAGAAGGCCUUUGGGUUGUAAAGCUCUUUCGUCGGGGAAGAAAAUGACUGUACCCGAAUAAGAAGGUCCGGCUAACUUCGUGCCAGCAGCCGCGGUAAUACGAAGGGACCUAGCGUAGUUCGGAAUUACUGGGCUUAAAGAGUUCGUAGGUGGUUGAAAAAGUUGGUGGUGAAAUCCCAGAGCUUAACUCUGGAACUGCCAUCAAAACUUUUCAGCUAGAGUGUGAUAGAGGAAAGCAGAAUUUCUAGUGUAGAGGUGAAAUUCGUAGAUAUUAGAAAGAAUACCAACUGCGAAGGCAGCUUUCUGGAUCAUUACUGACACUGAGGAACGAAAGCAUGGGUAGCGAAGAGGAUUAGAUACCCUCGUAGUCCAUGCCGUAAACGAUGUGUGUUAGACGUUGGAAAUUUAUUUUCAGUGUCGCAGGGAAACCGAUAAACACACCGCCUGGGGAGUACGACCGCAAGGUUAAAACUCAAAUGAAUUGACGGGGACCCGCACAAGUAGUGGAGCAUG